CAGCAUUCAGUAGCAUCUGUGCUAACAUUGGAACUAUACCAUGAAGAUUGGGAUGGCCCUGCACAAGGAUGACACACACAUUAAUGAAUUGGCCCCUAUUAAU
This is a small nuclear RNA of Myodes glareolus (Bank vole), 103 nucleotides long. The record is from RefSeq and is a predicted model, not a curated record. NCBI's taxonomy places the organism in Eukaryota, Metazoa, Chordata, Mammalia, Rodentia, Cricetidae.